AUUGAACGCUGGCGGCAGGCUUAACACAUGCAAGUCGAACGGUAACAUAAAGAAGCUUGCUUCUUUGAUGACGAGUGGCGGACGGGUGAGUAAUGCUUGGGAAUCUAGCUUAUGGAGGGGGAUAACUACGGGAAACUGUAGCUAAUACCGCGUAAUAUCGAGAGAGUAAAGUGUGGGACCUUCGGGCCACAUGCCAUAGGAUGAGCCCAAGUGGGAUUAGGUAGUUGGUGAGGUAAAGGCUCACCAAGCCGACGAUCUCUAGCUGGUCUGAGAGGAUGACCAGCCACACUGGGACUGAGACACGGCCCAGACUCCUACGGGAGGCAGCAGUGGGGAAUAUUGCGCAAUGGGGGCAACCCUGACGCAGCCAUGCCGCGUGAAUGAAGAAGGCCUUCGGGUUGUAAAGUUCUUUCGGUAGCGAGGAAGGCAUUUAGUUUAAUA
This 441-nucleotide ribosomal RNA is filed under the name Streptococcus sp. oral taxon C14. RNAcentral describes it as "bacterial SSU rRNA". It matches the Rfam family "Bacterial small subunit ribosomal RNA", at positions 30 to 465 of the family's 1533-position model. Lineage: Bacteria; Bacillati; Bacillota; Bacilli; Lactobacillales; Streptococcaceae. The record is from RNAcentral.